Phrynosoma platyrhinos (Desert horned lizard) is the source of this 72-nucleotide non-coding RNA. The record is from the annotation of a GenBank genome assembly. NCBI's taxonomy places the organism in Eukaryota, Metazoa, Chordata, Lepidosauria, Squamata, Phrynosomatidae.
GCCAGUGUGGUGUAGUGGUUUGUGUGUUGGACUAUGACUCUGGAGACCAGGGUUUGAAUCCCAGCUUGGCCA